CACAGAGCGAGGCCAGGUGACGGGGGACCUGUUCACCACCAGGUUCCUCAUGCAGCCAUGGUAGGCCAGAGGCCCAGCCUGUGUGUUCGUGGGCCCUGGGGGCACAAAGGAAGAUGGGCAGAGCAGACGGCUGAACUCCA
Leopardus geoffroyi (Geoffroy's cat) is the source of this 140-nucleotide long non-coding RNA. RefSeq lists it as uncharacterized. The transcript has 3 exons. Lineage: Eukaryota; Metazoa; Chordata; Mammalia; Carnivora; Felidae. The record is from RefSeq and is a predicted model, not a curated record.